This 451-nucleotide ribosomal RNA is filed under the name uncultured bacterium. RNAcentral's name for it is "bacterial SSU rRNA". It matches the Rfam family "Bacterial small subunit ribosomal RNA", at positions 340 to 783 of the family's 1533-position model. The record is from RNAcentral.
UACGGGAGGCAGCAGUGGGGAAUAUUGCACAAUGGGCGCAAGCCUGAUGCAGCCAUGCCGCGUGUAUGAAGAAGGCCUUCGGGUUGUAAAGUACUUUCAGUCGUGAGGAAGGUGUUAAGGUUAAUAACCUUAGCAAUUGACGUUAGCGACAGAAGAAGCACCGGCUAACUCCGUGCCAGCAGCCGCGGUAAUACGGAGGGUGCGAGCGUUAAUCGGAAUUACUGGGCGUAAAGGGCACGCAGGCGGUUAAUUAAGUUGGAUGUGAAUCCCCGGGCUUAACCUGGGAAUGGCAUUCAGACUGGUUAGCUAGAGUCUUGUAGAGGGGGUAGAAUUCCAUGUGUGCGGUGAAAUGCGUAGAGAUGUGGAGGAAUACCGGUGGGCGAAGGCGGGCCCCUGGGACAAAGGACUGACGCUCAUGUGCGAAAGCGUGGGGAGCAAACAGGGAUUAGAU